AUGCUACAUUUACGUUUUCAGCAGUUAAUUGAUGGUUUGAUACAUGGCACAUUUAAUAUAGCGGGUGCUAGAGCUGCACUUAACCUUGGUAGCACAAUGCUUGGGUUCUACCCUGUUAGAGUCUUGCCUUCAAAGACAAUUAUCUUACCUGUGAAUCCAGAAAUUCUUCCGGUGGUAGGUUGUUUGAUGUUUCACCUUCUGCCAGCUCUAUUCUACUUAUCCACAAUACUAACAACAAUAUCCUAUUCUUCCUGGCCCGUAGAUGGAGGAUUAGAAAGAAAUGGUCUUAUAAAUGGUUUAUUGUAA
This 306-nucleotide ribosomal RNA is filed under the name Triticum aestivum (bread wheat). Its description in RNAcentral is "partial small subunit ribosomal RNA". The record is from RNAcentral. Lineage: Eukaryota; Viridiplantae; Streptophyta; Magnoliopsida; Poales; Poaceae.